GUAGGUGGCAAGCGUUGUCCGGGAAUUAUUGGGGCGUAAAGCGCGCGCAGGCGGUUCUUUAAGUCUGAUGUGAAAGCCCACGGGCUCAACCGUGGAGGGUCAUUGGAAGCUGGAGAACUUGAGUACAGAAGAGGAAAGCGGAAUUCCACGUGUAGCGGUGAAAUGCGUAGAGAUGUGGAGGAACACCAGUGGCGAAGGCGGCUUUCUGGUCUGUAACUGACGCUGAGGCGCGAAAGCGUGGGGAGCAAACAGGAUUAGAUACCCUGGUAGUCCACGCCGUAAACGAUGAGUGCUAAGUGUUAGGGGGUUUCCGCCCCUUAGUGCUGCAGCUAACGCAUUAAGCACUCCGCCUGGGGAAUACGGCCGCAAAGGCUG
RNAcentral lists this ribosomal RNA (375 nucleotides) under uncultured organism. RNAcentral describes it as "partial 16S ribosomal RNA". It matches the Rfam family "Bacterial small subunit ribosomal RNA", at positions 527 to 896 of the family's 1533-position model. The record is from RNAcentral.